Molecule: ribosomal RNA, 415 nt
Filed under: uncultured bacterium
Lineage: Bacteria
Description: bacterial SSU rRNA
Rfam family: Bacterial small subunit ribosomal RNA
Source: RNAcentral
AUAUUGGACAAUGGGUUAGCGCCUGAUCCAGCCAUCCCGCGUGAAGGAUUAAGGACCUAUGGUUUGUAAACUUCUUUUGUACAGGGAUAAACCUACUCUCGUGAGAGUAGCUGAAGGUACUGUACGAAUAAGCACCGGCUACCUCCGUGCCAGCAGCCGCGGUAAUACGGAGGGUGCAAGCGUUAUCCGGAUUUAUUGGGUUUAAAGGGUCCGUAGGCGGACUGGUAAGUCAGCGGUGAAAUCUCAUAGCUUAACUAUGAAACUGCCGUUGAUACUGUCAGUCUUGAGUGUAGUUGAAGUAGCUGGAAUGAGUAGUGUAGCGGUGAAAUGCAUAGAUAUUACUCAGAACACCAAUUGCGAAGGCAGGUUACUAAGUUACAACUGACGCUGAUGGACGAAAGCGUGGGGAGCGAAC